Molecule: long non-coding RNA, 7365 nt
Organism: Orcinus orca (killer whale)
Lineage: Eukaryota; Metazoa; Chordata; Mammalia; Artiodactyla; Delphinidae
Exons: 3
Source: RefSeq, a predicted model, not a curated record
GAAGGGACCGGCUCGAAUUCGUCUUCAUAUCUUGGGUCUAGCUCGGUGCGCGGCUCAGGCUUUGCUGUUUGCUAACCUGUGGGAACCUGGCCUCGAUAGGGAAGUAAGAGGUGGCCCUAGUCAAGACAGCUCAGGCCCAGUCAAGACAGCCAGGCCGCACCCCGACGCGGCCGGGAACUCGGUUCGAGGAGGGAUCUUUUGACUUGAGCCCAGAGGGGCUGGCAGCCGGCAGUGGCUGGGCUCCAAGAAAGCCCUGGGGGCUCCCACCCGGCCGAGAGGCCCGCCCCUAACCAGUCCCCGGCGGCCUCCGCCAUGGAGGAUCUAAGCAAGACCGCGUGUGGGCGGGAUGAGCCAGCCUGCACUCCUUAUUGGACAAAGGCCCUUGUCAAUCACUGAGGAAACCUGUCUGGACGCGACCGGACAUCCGGAAUUCCCACCUCAGAGGGAAGCGGGCUCGGGUGGAGGCGGGGAGCGAUGGGAGGAUGCGGUACCCAAUGGUAAUCAAGAGUUCCGCCUUCGCAGUAGAUUGGCAGAUGCUUGAACCACUGAGGCGCCGCUAAGGAUAUUGGCCGUGGAGAAUGAUUGGUCCCAUCUGCGGGUGCGUGGUUCUUCAGAGUAUAUAAAGUAGGCAAUUAACACUUGGUUGAAAUCGUACUGCAGACGGAGCUGUACUUUUGUUGGUGUUUUGACUUCCACUAAGGCUCCUGAAUUUGGACACAAAGAAGAGAUGGCCCUUUUCCUGCUCCUCGAUGUGAUAUCUGAACUCCUGCAGCCAUCUUGCAACCAUGAGGAGAGCUGGUCUGUGACAAAGCCCACAGUGCAAGGAAGACCAAGUUAAGAGAAAUGUAGCUUGGGCCCUGACCCUAAUGGACCUACAGGCAUUCUGCCUUUGGACUCCUCCCGUGCCCUAAUUCUCCUUUUGUUUAAGACAAUUGAGUUGGAGCUUUCAGUUCUUUGCAGUUGGAACAUCUUAGCUGAACCAAGUAUACGAAAGUUCCUUCAGUUUACUUUUCCCAUAGCCGUGAGAAUUUUGACUCACGUACCCACGAGUCAUUUCUGUUUGUUUGGUAUAAUCAGAGAAGAAGGACUGGAAGAAGGAGGUGAAGAAAGAGAUAUAAAGUGGCUACAGGGCAGUGCAAGUUCUGCUGACAUGCAUUUAGGGGGCAGGGAGAUAAAAAACAACCCAGGGGGGUCCUUGGGACCUGAGAGAGAGAACAAACAAUACUUAAAUCAAAACAUUUUUAAAAAGCAGUAACAAAAAAGAUAAAAAUAUUUUUUAAAAAAAGAAAAAGGAACUGACAUUUGGAUAUAACAACAGACACACAGAUCAGACCCUCCUGCUAUGGAUUGCCAGCAAAGAAGCAAAAGCAGUUACAGUGAUGCGGGGGAGGCCUGGGAAAAACCCUAACAAGCAAGAGAGGAUAAAAGAAGGUUCACUGUGAUCCCGUGAUAAUUAUUAAAUUGUGGUACGUAAAACGCCACUGCUUCUUUUAAUUUCGUGUUUAGUUUUAUUUCAGCAAAUAAAAAAUAUUCUCAAGAACUUUCUUAGGUUGUCCCUUUAGCGUACCCUCCUAAAUUCAGAUUGCUAUGAAUUUUUCUGCCAGUGGGGUGAUCAGAUACAGGACCUGGGCAGAACGGAAGAAUCGCUGUUAUUUCCGUCGUCAUGCACUCGCUGACUCACUGAACUUUACUGAUGUGCUAAGGUGGCCCAGGCUCUCUCUGUGAGGUCAUUUUGGCAUUUUAUUGAAUGCUGACUUGUGAGGUUCUCUUUUCCUGCACACAUGCCUGGCUUCUCCAAAGGACUUUAUUUUUAUGUACUUAUUUAUUUUUGGCUGCGCCACGGCUCGCAGCUUCUUAGUUUCCCGACCAGGGUCAGCAGUGAAAGCGCCGAGUCCUAGCCACUGGACCACCAGGGAAUUCCCCUCUACACGACUUUAAUCUCGCUAAAGGUAGGACUGUGUUGUGUAUUUUAUUUCCAUUGACAGCGUCUAGCACAGGUCUAGGUGUGUGAUGAGCACUCACAGAAGUCUUAAUUAUAAGAGAAACUUAGAGGGUCUUAACUCUGAUACUGUUGCUUUGGUCCAGGAUUGAAGGUGAGCCUUUGAAUCAGACUUUUUGCUUUUUAGGGAUGCUCCCCUACCGCUUGCUUCCAUACAGUUACAGAAGUGUCCAGAAAUCCUUCUAAGGAAGAAGAAGGUGUAGUGUUAUUAGACUGGAUGCUCAGGCAGUGGGACCUGAUACCCAUCCCACAGCACCCCUGAAUCCUUUCAACACCACGUGCUGGGGCUGCUGAGGCUUCGAGCCAGCCCUUCUGGGCCGCUGCCUGCUCAGGGUCUGCACGGAAGGUCGAAUUUGGAUCAGAGGACAGCCUCGGAGGGGAGCCCAUGUGACAGCUGGAAGCUCACCAGCAGGCAGAAGCCAAGCAAGUCAGGGAUUUUUCUUCUCUGAAGACAACAGUCCUGAUUCCUGUGACAUGAUACCUCAGUUGCAAGAACUGAGCAACUCUGUAUAUGAUCUACCUCUACAUCUAUGUAUAUGAGAUAAACUGAAGCCUACAGAAGUCUGACAGUGGCACGGGCUCCGGUCCUGGGCUGGGGCAGAGUCAUGGCCCCGCCGUGGCGGCGUCUUGACGGGUGGAGGCGCCUACAUGUCGUAGAGCCGGAGCUGGUCCUGCACGUCGCCGUCCGACAUCUCGCCAAACGUCUCCUUGUUGUCCUUCAUGAGCUUGAAGAUGGCAGCCAGCUGUUCUUUCUGAACUCUGUCAAGAAGAAAGGAUAAAGAGGAAAAAGAUGCUCCCAAACCAGGGGAGAGAGAGAGAGAGGCCAUGCACAUCCCGUGGAGUCGGGACACUCCUCACUCCGGUAUUACUGCUUUGCUUUCCAGAAUAAGAAGAAAAUGAAACUAAAACAAAACCCACUCUUAACACAGGAGCUGAUUUGGUCUAAAAAAACUUAACUUGAGACUUCUACAAACUGGGGUUCCAAGUCUUGGGUUUACCCUGGAGAUCUGGGGAUCCCAAGUUAUCAUUCAGGUUCUCGGUGCUACAGUUUCCCCGUGGGCCUCCCUUUUUUUUCGGUCGUGCCGCAUGGCCUGCAGGAUCUUAGUUCCCGGACCAGAGAUUGAACCCGGCUCCUCGGUAGUUGAGAGCUCGGAGUCCUAACCACUGGACCGCCGGGGAAUUCCCAGGCCUCUCUUUAAUGUUGACUACACACUUCCCCGGGAGGCCACGAGGAAGCAGAGGUGCUCCAUUAGGCGGCUAGAGAGCCUAUGAAGAGACAUGUUAGAAACAGCCUUCGUUUAGAGGGAUGAGCCAAAAGUGGAGGAGGAAGAAACACAGUUGGCUGGGAAACGGGAGCAUACAGAUGUGUGCACAGGUUGCUUGGCCCAGGGGCAAGGGUGGGUGUGGGGUCUCGCUGCCCAGAGGAAGGGGCGCCUCUUUCCAGUUUGCACAAAGACACCUUAUAGCCAGCAGGGGCCCUGGCCCUUUUACCAGGGAACAGGCCUGGCUGGAGAUCGGCCUUAUGUUCACCACACACGGGCUGGGGGGGCCGGGGGGAUGCUGGGAGUGAUGUUCUGUUCUCUCUCUGCAGCUGGGCCGCACCAUCUGAUCAGCACGGGACACCUCCCAUGAGUGCAAACAUGAAAGGGUGGGGUGAGACUCUGCAGCCACGGUUUGCUUCUUGUUGGUUCUGUUGUGCUGUGCUCAUCAGCGAGGCUGGGCGCUGUGUGCUGGCGUGGGCUCCCCGUUCGGUUUCAGGCUUCUGCGGUUCCCCCCCUCCACACCGCCCUACUGGCUCGGCACGGGCCACCUUCAGAGGACGUAAACCAAAUGGCAAGGUCUGCUCUGGUCCCUGCAGACCCACCAGGAGGCAGAGCUUCAGCACAGCCUCUGACCCCUGGCCCUGCAGGGCACAGCACUGUCCAACCAGCACCCCAACCCUGUCUACAGGGGGAUCCGAUCGAUGUCUGGUCUUACGCUUGUCCUAACAUAUUCCUUCUGCAAUAACCCCAUAUCUCCCAAACAGCUAACAGUUGGUUUUCUGACUACAGCAGCAUCUAGAAGCUGAAAUACCGAAGUCCCAAAUCCAAGCCUCUCUUAGUCACGCCGGGAAAGUUAUUUCUACAGUCUGCUUUCCUGUCCGGAGGAGAAGGAGCCUGUGAGAAGUACGCGAUACCCCACCACCUGAAGAAAGGAGUACUGUGAACUGACAGGCUGUGUGUUUAGCUCUUUGGAAGGAAUCACAAUCCAGGUGUAUGAGUGGACAUCCCCCCAAAGGAACACAAAUCCUCUUGUGCGUCUCUUAAUGGCCGUGGCGCUUGCAUAUUUUUAAGAGGGUGGGCCUAGGACUUCGCACUCUGCUGGAGAGUAACAGGCACAAAUUGACAGAGAGCUCAAAUUUUAAUGGGUUCAAAAAGAUGUUUUUUAAAAACAAAGCAAAACUGAAAUAAACACACAGUAAUCAAGACCAUCUACUCAAAGUUUAUUGGACCGAACAAAGGCUGAAUACACAGAUCCCAGCCAUCGGGAGUAUAUGAGCCUUGGCGCCUACAAGCCACGUUCAGAAAGUGUCCAGACAAACUUAAUAACCUGGAAGGAGUCACCUGUUUUUCAGUCAGACCCCGGCCUGGACAAGGCCAUUGCUGUUGCUACUGCUGUGUGGGUCAGGCUACAUGGCUCUGUGUGGCUGUUGCUUUGUUGCCUGUUCUGUCCUAAACCCGUGAACCUAAGGUAUUAGACCCAGAGGAGAAGGUCCCUGGGAAUGUACCAUGCCCUAGGCUGACAGUGGACAUUUCCCGGCCUUCCACUAAAUAGAGGAGAAAAAAAAUUUUUUCUAUCAACUUACUGCUUUCAAAAAAUGUUUUAACCAACACAUCUAAAAACUACAGAUUAGUUUGGUAUAGUAUAAAUAUUGUCAAAUAUAAAAUUCCAAGAAAUGAAUCUGGGACUGAUCUGAUUAUCUGGAGAAGUUCUAGCUCAUCUAUGAAACCUAGGAAAAGGCAGAAUCGAGACAGCUGUUUUAAGCGAACACUAUCAUUAUUGCUUCUGCGAAAGCGAAGGUGGACAUUCCGCUGAGCUGGUAGGAACAUCAAUGAAAAGGCCUCUUAGCAACAAGCGGGCUGGAUCCGAGCCUGCUCUCAACGGAGGGUAAGGGCAAGAGGAAGUCAACAGCUGGUUCUGGUUCUUUGCUGCCCACUGAUCAAUCAUUGGGCUCUCGCCCCCACAGCCGAGCCAGCCGAAGACAGGGGAGCGGGCCCCAAGGGGAAGGAGGGCAGUCGACCAGGCAGCGAGCACAGGCAGCGCUCCCUCAUUUGUCCAUCACACCUCAAAGUCUUUCCUGGUUUGGCUCUGGUGAUGAAAAGCAGGAGGGCUGGAAUGAAACUACACCGAUUUUAAAAUGAUGGCAUUGCUGACAUUGGUGAUAUCUCAGGUGCAGAGCGUGUGUGGGCAGGAAGGUUGAGUGAUAAGGAAAAUAAAAGUCCAGGAAAACCCUUCAGCUUAACAAAGCAAUCCAGGCAAACAGGGAGGAACGCCUCUACAGGGGAGCGCCACGGGCAUUCGGGAUCCUCCCAGCCAAGGAAAGUCCUGGAUGGGGGCCUAGUCCUGGCAGAUUUAUGUGGGAAAAUGCGCCCCAGGAGCCUGCUGGCUCCUCUCUGGGGAUUCCACUUUAUCUCUCAAGUUUUAAGAUGCCAAAAGGAAAAGCCUUUAGGAGGAGGCUAAGGAUAACUUCAUUAUUCCUCGGUUCUGUAAAGAGAAAUAAGGAGAAAAGAUAAUUUAUUUCACUCAUGCCAUCUUACAAGUACUGCAGGAAAGGGGGAAACGGGGUGAGGAAGGGGAACGUCUGGAAUUGCAGAAGCCAGCCCAGACGCUGGGAUCCAGACCCAGGGGAGUUUGCCUCUCAUCACCUGCUGCAGGAGAGCCCACUAACCGAAGCCAGCCCGAGACCCCGUUCCAAGUCUGCAAGGCCUGCAGGGGCAGGUCAGGGCCCACCUGUAGGUGGUUUAGCAGGUAGGGUGCCCUUGUAGGUAGUUGGUCGGGGAGCAGCCUCAAUAAGGUAGCUGGGCAGGUCAGGGCCCACCUGUACAUAGUUUAACAGGCAGGGUCCCCCUGGAGGUAGUUAGGCAGGGAGUGUCAGACUUUAGGUAGUUGGGCAGGUAGGGUCCCAGAGUAAAUACUUGGGCAGGGCACGUCUCUCAUUUAGGUAUCUGGGCAGUUCGGGUGCCCAUGCGGGUAGUUGAGCAGGUUGAAGCCCACUUGUAGGUGGUUGGCAGGGAGGGUCCCACUUACAGGUAUUUGGGCAGUUCGAGUCUCACAUGUGGGUGGUUAGGCAGGGAGGGUCCUCAAUUAGGUAGUUGGGCAGGGAGGGUCCCACAGUAGGUAGCUGGGCAGGGAGGGUACCACAUGUUGGUAUACGGGCAGUUUGGGUCCCACAUGUAGGUGGCUGAGCAAGUCGGGUCCCACACAUGGGUAGUUAGACAGGGAGCAUCCUCAGCUAGGUAGCUGGGCAGCUUGGGGCCCACUUGUGCAGUUUAACACGGAGGGUCCUCAAUUAGGUAGCUGGGCAGGGAGGGUCCCACAGGUGUGUUGUUGGGCACGGGGUCCACGUGUAGGUCGGUGGGCAGGUAGGGUGCCACAGAUACUCAGGUAGGUCAGACUGCGGGGGUCAGAUCCUCAGCUUUGUGGCCGCUCUGGGCUGGUCCUCUCUGGGCCGGUCCUCUCACCAUAGAUUAUUUUUUAUCCUUGCUGGGUAGGUUUUGUCCCUUCUGGGGACAGUGGCUUCCAAGGACAUGUGCUCCCCAGAUGACACAAAUGGUGUGCCCACCUUUUGCAAGGGACAUGCAGAAGCGCUGGUUUACCCAGGUGAGCGCUGAGGGAAACCGGUGCGAUUCAGUUUUAUCCCUCUGGCGCCCUCAUGUGGAGGUGAGUUAGCACGUGUUCCUAGAAAUUCACACUGGUGGAUGGUUUGUGGACCCAUCAGAGGGCAGAAAGCAGGAAGAAUAGCCAUUCACCCUUGCCAGUUAUGCAUUUCAAAACACCAUCCACUAGAGUGGUGUGCACUUCCAAAAACGGCAGGCCAGUCCUGGGGACCUUCAGAAUGGAAUGGGUGCUGGGGUCCUGGGUCCUCACUAUCAGAACCAACCUAGUCUACCUCCUGGGUUCCACUUUUCCCCUGGACCAGAAGAUGGGAAGAAGGGACGGUGUACAAGGAAAGGAGUAGCCCAUGGUGCCUCUUCUUUUUGCUGCCGAGCUAGAAGUCAGCCAAGCUCGCCAGCUUCACUGGCCCUGGGGUGAGGGGGUGGCACCUUGCCGCGGGGAGCAGUCAUAACCUGCAAGCCCAGUGUCCCAGCCACGCUGAGGCUGGAUAC